GGAUGAAGAACGUAGUGAAAUGCGAUAAGUAGUGUGAAUUGCAGAAUUCAGUGAAUCAUCGAAUCUUUGAACGCACAUUGCGCCCUUUGGUAUUCCUUAGGGCAUGCCUGUUCGAGCGUCAUUUACAACUUCAAGCCCCGCUUGGUGUUGGGUGUCUGUCCCGCCCCCCGGGGUGCGGACUCGCCUCAAAUUCAUUGGCGGCCGGUACAUUGGCUUCGAGCGCAGCAGAAACGCGAACUCGAGGACGGUGGAUCCGCUCCCAGAAGCCAACCCCAUAUUUUGACCUCGGAUCAGGUAGGGAUACCCGCUGAACUUAAGCAUAUCAAUAAGCGGAGGA
RNAcentral lists this unclassified non-coding RNA (337 nucleotides) under soil metagenome. RNAcentral describes it as "partial contains 5.8S ribosomal RNA, internal transcribed spacer 2, and large subunit ribosomal RNA". The stretch from base 2 to 121 matches the Rfam family "5.8S ribosomal RNA", at positions 35 to 154 of the family's 154-position model. The record is from RNAcentral.